Molecule: ribosomal RNA, 715 nt
Filed under: Mesobacillus sp.
Lineage: Bacteria; Bacillati; Bacillota; Bacilli; Caryophanales; Bacillaceae
Description: bacterial SSU rRNA
Rfam family: Bacterial small subunit ribosomal RNA
Source: RNAcentral
GGAUAACUUCGGGAAACCGGAGCUAAUACCGGAUAAUCCUUUUCCUCACAUGAGGGAAAGCUGAAAGACGGUUUCGGCUGUCACUUACAGAUGGGCCCGCGGCGCAUUAGCUAGUUGGUGAGGUAACGGCUCACCAAGGCAACGAUGCGUAGCCGACCUGAGAGGGUGAUCGGCCACACUGGGACUGAGACACGGCCCAGACUCCUACGGGAGGCAGCAGUAGGGAAUCUUCCGCAAUGGACGAAAGUCUGACGGAGCAACGCCGCGUGAGCGAUGAAGGCCUUCGGGUCGUAAAGCUCUGUUGUCAGGGAAGAACAAGUAUCGGAGUAACUGCCGGUACCUUGACGGUACCUGACCAGAAAGCCACGGCUAACUACGUGCCAGCAGCCGCGGUAAUACGUAGGUGGCAAGCGUUGUCCGGAAUUAUUGGGCGUAAAGCGCGCGCAGGCGGUUCCUUAAGUCUGAUGUGAAAGCCCCCGGCUCAACCGGGGAGGGUCAUUGGAAACUGGGGAACUUGAGUGCAGAAGAGGAGAGCGGAAUUCCACGUGUAGCGGUGAAAUGCGUAGAGAUGUGGAGGAACACCAGUGGCGAAGGCGGCUCUCUGGUCUGUAACUGACGCUGAGGCGCGAAAGCGUGGGGAGCGAACAGGAUUAGAUACCCUGGUAGUCCACGCCGUAAACGAUGAGUGCUAAGUGUUAGAGGGUUUCCGCCCUUU